AGAGUUGAUCAUGGCUCAGGACGAACGCUGGCGGCAUGCUCAUACAUGCAAGUCGAACGAUAAGGUCUCUUCGGAGAUACAUAAGUGGCGGACGGGUGAGUAAUAUGUAGGAAAUCUGCCCUAGAGAGGGGGACAACAGAGGGAAACUUCUGCUAAUACCCCAUAUGAGCGUACCUGAAAUGGUAUUCUUGAAAACUCCGGUGCUCUAGGAUGAGCCUGCAUCUGAUUAGCUUGUUGGCGGUGUAAUGGACCACCAAGGCGACGAUCAGUAGCUGGUUUGAGAGGAUGAUCAGCCACAAUGGGACUGAGACACGGCCCAUACUCCUACGGGAGGCAGCAGUAGGGAAUUUUGCGCAAUGGGCGAAAGCCUGACGCAGCAAUGCCGCGUGAACGUAGAAGCCCUUCGGGGUGUAAAGUUCUGUCAGUGGGGACGAAUUUUGACGGUACCCACAGAGGAAGCACCGGCUAACUCCGUGCCAGCAGCGGC
RNAcentral lists this ribosomal RNA (487 nucleotides) under uncultured bacterium. RNAcentral describes it as "bacterial SSU rRNA". It matches the Rfam family "Bacterial small subunit ribosomal RNA", at positions 8 to 518 of the family's 1533-position model. The record is from RNAcentral.